Molecule: long non-coding RNA, 560 nt
Organism: Rosa chinensis
Lineage: Eukaryota; Viridiplantae; Streptophyta; Magnoliopsida; Rosales; Rosaceae
Exons: 2
Source: RefSeq, a predicted model, not a curated record
UAAAGAUAGCUAGCAAAAAUAGUAGUUCAAAUCUUUUCCCCUAGUCACCAAUUCAUUUCAUAUAUAUGCCUCUUCACAGCAUGGAAGGAGCUUCAGAAUCAGAAGAGAAACAGGCAGAAAGAAAGGGAUCGUCAAUGCUAUCUAAACCUCGGCACGAAAUUCAUCUGGAGCACUCAUUUGAGCAAGAAUGUAUGACGAAGUUUGUAGACGAAGGUUGUGAAGUGUAGGGUAUUAAGGAAACCUCGACCACGAACCUUCAUGCCCGAGGGCAUAUGGCAUGUGAGAGGUUUCCGGCCUUCAUCAACCAUAUUUUAACGUUCUCCGACGGUUAGGAGUGCAGACAUUACAAUCUCCUUUAAGCUCUAAUCUUGCUCCUCUUACUUAAAAUACAAAGAAAAUUGUUUAAAGCAUACAUAUAUCCUCUGCUAGCUAUCUAUGAUCGAUGUAAUGCGACAUUGUAAACCCAUGUCAGGAAUUAAAGUAUCAAAGAGAUGGAUGGAUGGAUAUAUAUGUAUCUAUUUAUACAAAAUACAUAUACAUAUAUUGAUUUUACCUCUGAA